CAGCCGCCGCGGGAAUACGGAGGGUGCAAGCGUUAAUCGGAAUUACUGGGCGUAAAGCGCACGCAGGCGGUCUGUCAAGACAGAUGUGAAAUCCCCGGGCUCAACCUGGGAACUGCAUUUGUGACUGUAUAGCUAGAGUACGGCAGAGGGGGAUGGAAUUCCGCGUGUAGCAGUGAAAUGCGUAGAUAUGCGGAGGAACACCGAUGGCGAAGGCAAUCCCCUGGGCCUGUACUGACGCUGAUGGACGAAAGCGUGGGGAGCGAACAGGAUUAGAUACCCCCGUAGUCCCUGUCUCUUAUAA
Molecule: ribosomal RNA, 301 nt
Filed under: uncultured bacterium
Lineage: Bacteria
Description: partial 16S ribosomal RNA
Rfam family: Bacterial small subunit ribosomal RNA
Source: RNAcentral